This 468-nucleotide ribosomal RNA is filed under the name uncultured bacterium. RNAcentral describes it as "partial 16S ribosomal RNA". It matches the Rfam family "Bacterial small subunit ribosomal RNA", at positions 28 to 507 of the family's 1533-position model. The record is from RNAcentral.
GACGAACGCUGGCGGCGUGCUUAACACAUGCAAGUCGAACGGAAAGGCCAUGCUUUUGUGGGGUGCUCGAGUGGCGAACGGGUGAGUAACACGUGAGUAACCUGCCCUUGACUUUGGGAUAACUUCAGGAAACUGGGGCUAAUACCGGAUAGGAGCUCCUGCUGCAUGGUGGGGGUUGGAAAGUUUCGGCGGUUGGGGAUGGACUGGCGGCUUAUCAGCUAGUUGGUGGGGUAGUGGCUUACCAAGGCUUUGACGGGUAGCCGGCAUUGGAGGGUGACCGGCCACAUUGGGACUGAGAUACGGCCCAGUCGGCUACGGGACGCAGCGGUGGGAAAUAUUGCACAAUGGGCGGAAGCCUGAUGCAGCAACGCCGCGUGCGGGAUGACGGCCUUCGAGUUGUAAACCGCUUUCGCCUGUGACGAAGCGGGAGUGACGGUAAUGGGUAAAGAAGCACCGGCUAACUACGUG